RNAcentral lists this ribosomal RNA (405 nucleotides) under Aoraki denticulata. Its description in RNAcentral is "partial 16S ribosomal RNA". The record is from RNAcentral. Lineage: Eukaryota; Metazoa; Arthropoda; Arachnida; Opiliones; Pettalidae.
UAAAUUGUUCAUUAAUUGUAAACUAGCAUGAAGAAAAAUAUAUUUAAUAUCUGUCUUUUUAUUAUAAAUUAAAAUUAAAUUUUUUGUCAAAAGGCAAAAAUAUAUUUUAGGGACAAGAAGACCCUAUAAAGCUUUAUAUUUUUUAUCAAAUUAUUAAGGUAAAAUAAUAUUAUGGGGGGGCAAUAUUAUGUUUAUAAAGAAUAUAUAAUAAAAAUAUUAUUUAAAUAAUUUUGUUCAUGAUCCAUUUUUACUGAUAAACUGAAUAAGUUACUUUAGGGAUAACAGGAUAAUUUUUAUUAUAGAGUUCAUAUUAAAAAUAAAGAUUAUUACCUCGAUGUUGAAUUAAUUUUAUAUAAUGGUGAAGGAGCUAUUAUUAUAUGACUGUUCGUCAUUUAAAUAAUUACA